This 873-nucleotide ribosomal RNA is filed under the name Triticum aestivum (bread wheat). RNAcentral describes it as "partial small subunit ribosomal RNA". The record is from RNAcentral. Lineage: Eukaryota; Viridiplantae; Streptophyta; Magnoliopsida; Poales; Poaceae.
AUGCUGGGUGGUCUCACUAAGCUGUUCCUUUCAUCCCCUGGUCAGCUGAGUGGGGAUAUUCUUGCUGCCCUGAGCAGGGUGCGUUGCUUGGCGUACCUGAAGCUAAUUGCAUCUCAACUGGACAAACUCACCAUCGUACAAGGUGCACUUGGAAGCCUGCAAUGCCUAUGCAUCAUGGUGGAAGUCAUGACUGAGCUGGAAGUCCAGGAGGGAGCUCUGCCACUCCUCGAGUCACUCCGGCUGCUAUGUACAGAUCUAAAUGGCUUUUGCAGCAUGACAAUCCAGUCCCUACGACGUAUUAAGGAGGUCACCCUCCAUGAUGGAGUAAGUGAUGAAACAAAGCACGAGUGGAAAGAAGCAGCAAAGAAACACCCCAGACGUCCCAAGCUCUUGUUUGUUAAGACAGUUGAAGAUGUUGAUAUGGGAUGUGAACCUACAUACAAUUCUGAGAUAACAACACCCCACAAUGCCAUUUUUACCGGACAGUCUGUACAAGUUGAUGGUGAUGACCUGCAACAGGAUGAUGAUGAGAAAGAAGAUACAGAUAAAAUUAAUAUCCUAGAGGAUUUUGCUAGCAAGACUUGUCUGGACCCUCCGAUGAACAAGGAAAGUUUUGAACAGGGGAUGGAAGGAAUGGUAGGUUUAGAGGAUGAGCGGAUGGAAGAUGUCACUCGGUCUACUGAUCAAAAUGAUGUACUUUUAGUGGUGGGUGAGAACAGAAGAAAGAGGGCAAGGUUGGACAUUGGUGAAGACAACUCAAUGGACAAGGUUGUUGAUAGGGUGAAGCGCAAGAACCCAGAGGAUGUCCAAGAAACGAGGCCUACAAAACAAACAGCGCCUGGAAUUGCGGUUGUUGUCUCUGAUGGAAACUGA